UACGUAGGGCGCAAGCGUUGUCCGGAAUUAUUGGGCGUAAAGAGCUCGUAGGCGGCCUGUUGCGUCCGCUGUGAAAUCCCGGGGCUCAACCCCGGGCCUGCAGUGGAUACGGGCUGGCUGGAGGCAGGCAGGGGAGAACGGAAUUCCUGGUGUAGCGGUGAAAUGCGUAGAUAUCAGGAGGAACACCGGUGGUGUAGACGGCUUACUGGACCAUAACUGACGCUGAGACACGAAAGCGUGGGUAGCAAACAGG
Molecule: ribosomal RNA, 253 nt
Filed under: uncultured bacterium
Lineage: Bacteria
Description: partial 16S ribosomal RNA
Rfam family: Bacterial small subunit ribosomal RNA
Source: RNAcentral